CGCUCCAUGUUUUGUAUGUGUAAACAGAUGUAUAUACUCGCUCUAUUCCCAAAAGAAUGUAAUUUUAAAAUAGUGUUAUGUUCUUCUAUAUCAAUUUUGAGCAAUUAUAGAUAAAAAAUUAUAAAAUAUAUUUUUCAUAUUAAAUUGAUUUGGAACCAUAAAUAUGAAUACUAUUUAUUAGAAAUUUAAUUUAAUGUCAAGCAGUUUAACUGAGACGUAAUCUACCGUAUUUGAUUAAACUUAAGAUUUCCUGACUUCUUCGUUGGGACGCGACCACACACAGACACACACUGCAAUGAUUCCUCGCAACACGGGCCAAUCAACCGGCCCACGGGCCACGGGCACCGAGGACAGCAAGCCGUUUCUCAGCUUCUGUGUAGCAAGCCGUGGGCCAGAUUGAUCCGACAUUAGCGCGUUGCCCAAUCUUCUUCUUCUUCUUCUUCUUCUUCUUCUUCUUCUUCUUCUUCUUCUUCUUCUUAUUCUUAUCCAUCAUCAAUUUUGAGGAGAAAAAAACGUCCUGGUUGCCCAAUGAUCGCAGGCAAACAGGCCCUUCUGAUGUCUGCAUGGUCUUUUUAGCCGCAUUUGACGUUCAUGAAGACGUCCUUUUUUAUAUAGUUCCUUUAUUUUCAUUUCCUCCUCCUUUCUACAUGCUUUAAAAUUUAUUUUAGUUUUUUUAUUUUUCUUUCCCUCUUUGUUACCACCCGAUUCAAAUAUCCCACGGUCAUGUUCCAACUUUUUAUUGUUUUUCUAGUAUUUGCGAUUUGCCUCAUGCGUCAUUAUUUUUAUUAGUGCAAAGCAUUUCUCAUCAAGGUACAAUGAUUUGUCAUUAUAAUUUAGAACAUUUCCUUGCUUAAAGUUGUAAUGCUUAAUAAAAAAAUUUUGAGCUUCAUAUUAAGAAUGAUCAAGUUAUAGCCUAUCAUGUUCCAUCUUCAUAAGACACAAUUUCUCGUGAAAUUAGAAUAUUUUUCCUAAAUUUAGAAGUUAGAACAUAUCAAUAAAAAAAUGUCCCAAUAUUAUGAUAAGAAUGUUCUAGGUUGAAAGUGUUAAACCAAAAUAUCAUCAAAUAUACUCAAGUUCACUCUUGGUUUAAAAGUUUGGUAAAGAACUCAAUGGCGCAAUUAGAAAUUAGUUUGAAAUUUUGAAUACUCAUUAAAAACCCAUGGGGUAUUUUUAAUUCAUACUCCCCUAACCCAAAAUAUAUGCACUUCUA
Molecule: long non-coding RNA, 1210 nt
Filed under: Sorghum bicolor (sorghum)
Lineage: Eukaryota; Viridiplantae; Streptophyta; Magnoliopsida; Poales; Poaceae
Description: long non-coding RNA (SBIC_LNC005797)
Source: RNAcentral